UAGGCCUCAGCGUACCCCUACGCCCCCCAGCGUCCCUUAGCUUCUCCCUCCCCCCUGCGGCCCAGGGGGUGAAGUAUGCGGAAGCUGCGUCGGGCCAGUGUAGUGACCCGUGCCCCAGCGUUCCCCUGCGGCGCCGUGAAUCAUUGCCCUGCCAGAGCCCUGAGUCGGUGCCCUGGGGAAGAACGGAGAAGAAAAAUGGUGUUCUUAAAGGUUUAACAGUGAAGAGUUGUGGCUGGAAUAAAUGGUCAGGACGGUCCGGACCAGAUGAACGACGCUGAUCAGAGAAGAUGUCACAUUGAGCCGCCGCAGGAACUAGAUGGGGAGCACUCACGGCCGGACAGAACGGCCAGAUCAUUGCCCCUAGCAACGCCCCCAGGGACACCGAGGACAAAGGACAUCCUGAAACAUGCGUUGGGGUGGCGUCGCUCCAGCAGACCUCCAUAAGAAUAAUCUAUAUUGUAUCUUGGUAUAUAUGUAUGUAUUCCCGACUAUGUUUACCUAUGGAUUUGAAUGGGAAAAACUUUUUGCUUUUAAAGGGGU
This is a long non-coding RNA of Hyla sarda, 540 nucleotides long. RefSeq lists it as uncharacterized. The transcript has 3 exons. NCBI's taxonomy places the organism in Eukaryota, Metazoa, Chordata, Amphibia, Anura, Hylidae. The record is from RefSeq and is a predicted model, not a curated record.